Molecule: long non-coding RNA, 1910 nt
Filed under: Ananas comosus (pineapple)
Lineage: Eukaryota; Viridiplantae; Streptophyta; Magnoliopsida; Poales; Bromeliaceae
Description: long non-coding RNA (ACOM_LNC014499)
Source: RNAcentral
GACUUUUAAGAGUUUUAGAUUUUAACCUGUUAGUAUAUAUAUUAGGAGCAGGGCUGCUGAGCUCUUAGGAGCACGGAGGCCUCCGUGCUCCUAAGCUGUUUUCGAUGAUGGAGUUUCCAAAUCGACGAUCGGUUCCGUUAAACUUGAUCUAGCGUAUUUAAGUUUCUAGAAAAUAAUUUUUGUGAUUUUUUGAUAUCAUUUACCUAGCAAUCAAAAGGAUUCAAAAUCAAUAAUUUUUAACGGCUGAAAAUAAAAAUCCUAUAAAAAGUGGUGAUAUAGCACUAAAAUUUUCGAUCAGAAAUAUUAAUUUUGUUGUAGAUAGAAUAAAAAAUUUUGUAUCAAAAUUUCAUUUGAUUUGAAUACUUCUACACCGUUAAACUUGAAAACGGCAGAUAUCAACCAUUAAAAAUUAUGAAUUUUGAAUCCUUUCGAUCACUAGGUAAAUGAUAUAAAAAAAUCGCAAAAGUUAUUUUCUAGAAACUUCAAAUGCGCUAGAUUAAGUCUAACGGAGCCGAUCGUCGAUUCGAAAAUUCCAUCAUCGAAAACGGCUCAAGAGCACGGAGGAGCACAGCAACCCUGCUCUAUAUAUUAGUGAAUUGGAUUAAUUUUGUACAAGUUCAUACAAAUAUAGUGAAUUGCAAAUAUAUUUCUACAAAGUUUCGUUAAAGCACUUUUUAUUUUAUAAGUGAAAUAACUUUUUCGUCAUCACAGAUAUAUCCCUCUAAAAGUUCCAACUGUUAGAGAGUGAUAAAAAGGUUAAAUCAUCUCAUUAACUAACUAUGAUUAAGUAUUUUACCUAUGGUUAAUUAAUUUUUUCUAAUGAAUUUUAACGGCAGGAACAUAUUUGAAAACAUUAGGACUUUUAUAGAGCAACAUAUAAAAGUUGAAUUUUGUAGGAAUAUAUUUGCAAUUCACUAUAUUUAUAGGAACCUAUCUAUACCUAUACAUUAUUUCUCCUAAUUUUUUGCCACGUGGCGAAUUCUCCUUCACUUUUUUCUUCUCUCAUCUAACUUUUUCAUCCAAUGUUUCAUCUUCCUAAACUCCCACCUCUCAAUUAAUGUGUUUACAUAAUAUCAUCUCCAUCCAAUGCUUCAUCUUUCUAACCCCCCACCCAAUGCUUCAUCUUCCUAAUCUCUAUAUCUCUCAAUUAAUAUGUUUACAUGGCUUCAUCUCCAUUUCUCCAUUUUUUUUUUCAUAUUAUUUUUUUUUCUCCCCUCCUAUCUCUCAAUUAAUAUGUUUACAUGAUUUCAUUUCCAUUUCUUCAUAUCUUUUUUUUCAUAUUGUUUUUUUUCUUUUUUUCUUAGCGCACAAAAAGGGCUCAUGUUUUAUAACUUUUUUUAAUUUUUUGUUGUGUGUGGAUUAAAAUUAGGGUUUCGAGGAUCGUGACGGAGCGCUGCAAAAGAAAACGGUGAUGGGUUUGGAGUCAGUGAGAGAGAAGAAGCAGAGGAUGUGGAUACGGGAUUGAUAUGGUCGUGACUAAAGAGGAGCUCGACAUUAGCGGCGAAGGUGAUAUAAAGAUCGGAAUUUGCCUCUCCGAUGAUAGUGCAAUGAAGAUGUGUGUGGGGUAAAAAAAAAUUUAUUGCUUAUUUUAUUAUUAUUACGUGUGAUUUAUUUACCAAAAUUAUAAAUUUUGUUAUAUCAAUACCUAUAUCUAUUUUAUAUUUUAUAUUUGUGUUUAUUUAAGUCCUAUAUCAAAUCAAAAAAUUUAAAUUUUUAUUUUAUUUAUAUUUUAUAUUCUAUAGUAUCAUUUUGCCGCAAUGCGCGGGUAACUUCACUAGUAUGAAAUUAACUCAUGAUAUUAUUAUUUACUUUUUUAUUAAUUAUUCAAUAUAAAUCUUUUCAUAAGUAAACUUUUCAAACCCACACUCCAUUUUUUUCCUAAUCAAAUUAUAUUUUAAUGAUCUCAACCA